This 492-nucleotide ribosomal RNA is filed under the name uncultured bacterium. RNAcentral's name for it is "partial 16S ribosomal RNA". It matches the Rfam family "Bacterial small subunit ribosomal RNA", at positions 29 to 507 of the family's 1533-position model. The record is from RNAcentral.
AGUGAACGCUGGCGGUAGGCCUAACACAUGCAAGUCGAACGGCAGCACAGUAAGAGUUUGCUCUUACGGGUGGCGAGUGGCGGACGGGUGAGGAAUACAUCGGAAUCUACUUUUUCGUGGGGGAUAACGUAGGGAAACUUACGCUAAUACCGCAUACGACCUACGGGUGAAAGCAGGGGAUCUUCGGACCUUGCGCGAUUGAAUGAGCUGAUGUCGGAUUAGCUAGUUGGCGGGGUAAAGGCCCACCAAGGCGACGAUCCGUAGCUGGUCUGAGAGGAUGAUCGGCCACACUGGAACUGAGACACGGUCCAGACUCCUACGGGAGGCAGCAGUGGGGAAUAUUGGACAAUGGGCGCAAGCCUGAUCCAGCCAUACCGCGUGGGUGAAGAAGGCCUUCGGGUUGUAAAACCCUGUUGUUGGGAAAGAAAAGCAGCAGGUGAAUACCCCGCUGUUCUGACGGUACCCAAAGAGUAAGCACCGGCUAACUUCGUG